AAUGUUUAAAAGUAGUUCGGUUUUUGUAGUCUGAAGAUGCUAUUGAUUACUGAAAAUGUUAGCUACUAAAUUAAAAAUUUUAGAUAUAAACUCAACUGCUAAGAAUACUUUGAAUUGUAUUAAAUUGAAGAGUAUAAACAGUAAGUUUGGCAAUAUGGACUGUGAAGAGCAGAGCCAGCUCGAGAUAGAACAGGUACGGAAAAUGUGUACGAUAAUCAGCAAAAAAAUGAUAAGAACAUAUAAACAUGGAAAUGCUUGGAUGAAUGCAUAUUAAACGGGGUAUACCCCAUGUCAAUUAGUAGAGUUAAAUUACUGAUCUAGUCCCAGUUGGUCCUCAGAAAGAUGAAACAAGUUUGCUCUAAGGUAGCAAUCACUGAUGCAAAAAGAAAAUACUUCCAAAUAUUCCGUGAUGAUAUAAAACUGUACAACAACCAAUUAGUGCAUAAAGAUGACAUUGCACAGUUUUUAAAUGUACUAGAAAACUAAAUGCUCUUAAGAACAGUCUUAGAAAGAAUUAAAUUAAGAAAAUUAAGUGGAUUUUUAAGCAGCAACUUAGAAUGAGGAAGAGGACACAAAUCAGUAUAGACCAGGAAAUAACCAUAGUUGAGGACAUUAUCACCAUAUGCAGAACAAAUCCUAAAGAAAGAUCCCUUGUGUGCUCUCUGAACCAAGACUAAUAUACUCAAUGAAAUGCCCAUAGUAGAGGACAUGCUAAGUAAUGUAAACAAACAGGAGAGAGAGAGAGGCUCAGAUGGACUUACAUAAAUCAAAACAAUGAGAAGGAAAAACAUCUAUGGCACUGAUGGAAGAGUAUUACACAUCAAACGUAGAGGUCGACUGGGACCGUGCUAAAUAAUUAAACAAACCUAAGGCCUGAUAAGAGAAUCGUUAGAGAUAGAAAAAAGAAGAAAUUAUGAAAAUAUCCUGAACAACAGACUCUAAGGAGAUGCCAGUCCCAUGGCUAUAUGCAAUCAAGAAAGCAGAUUGAUAGCAAGAAGCAGCGAUACCGUGAAGUACACUAUAUAAAGAAUUGUAAUGCACAGCAUAUUAUUAUUAUUCUUUUCAUGUUUAAUUGUUUAUUUUUAUUUAGUUGUAC
RNAcentral lists this long non-coding RNA (1096 nucleotides) under Androctonus crassicauda. Lineage: Eukaryota; Metazoa; Arthropoda; Arachnida; Scorpiones; Buthidae. The record is from RNAcentral.